Long non-coding RNA from Sapajus apella (tufted capuchin), 244 nucleotides. RefSeq lists it as uncharacterized. The record is from RefSeq and is a predicted model, not a curated record. NCBI's taxonomy places the organism in Eukaryota, Metazoa, Chordata, Mammalia, Primates, Cebidae. The transcript is spliced from 3 exons.
UCUCCCAAAGUGGCUGUACAAUUAAUGCAUUCUGCUAACAGUGAAUGAUAGUACCUAUUGUUCUUCAACCUCCAGUUGUUAUUGUUGAGCUUUUCUUAGAGUCUUACAGUUCUACUAGGUGUGCAGUGGUAUCUCAGCAUUAUUUUGAUUUGCAGUCUCCUAAUGAGACAUGAUGUUGAACAUCCUUUUGUGUAAUUAUUUGCUAUCUGUAUAUUUUUGGUGUUUUUUGUCAAAACAGUGUCUC